AGGCGCUGUACCCGGGAGCCAGGUGUCUGUCUGCAUGUGCCAAAGCAGGCAGGCCUGCUCUAUGCUCAUGAUCUCUGAGCAUAUGAGUGGGUACCUGUGGACAUCCUCAAUAUCAGAACCAGCAGCCUUUGGAGCUGAAAAGCAGAAAAGGGAUGGCAUCUGGCCAGGGAUGAGCUCCAAACAUCCUCCACUGCUGCUAAAAGCUCGACCUUGGCCAAUUGCUUCCCUGGCUGCCUUUGAUGGGCAGCUCCAGCCAUCUCCUGGGCAGCUUGAGUUCCUGUCCCUCUCUGAAACUCUGGGUCCUUCUAGCAAGUGGAAGUGGGACUGACUUCUCCAGAGCCUAAGGUCUUGGAGGAAAGUAAUGUUUUCUACAGACCCGGGUGCUGAAGUAACGACAGCCCUCCGUCUUCCUUCCUGCUUCUCUAACGAUCCCUAUAACAUCAGAGUGCUGGGAGCACAGAGCCACCAGCUUUGCUCUGGAUCUCUUUACACCUUGGGUCACCCAAGCCCCACACGCCUAUGGAAGAGGAUCAGCCUUCUGAUGAAACCUGGAGCAUUUCUGCAGCACAGUUCGGAGCAGAGGAGAACCAAACUUCCUUUUCCAAGCUGUAGAAUUCCUGAAGCCAGAAUUGAAGGGGAAUUCUAAAUAUGGUCCCAAGGGUUUGGGCCUUGUACUGACCUUCUUAGGUAAUGCCCCUGGACAGACCAUCCUGUCCUUGCCCCAGUCCACCCUGGAACACAAUGCCAGAGGCUUUCUUACUCUGGGGGAAAUGGCGCAAGCAAUUCUGUUGUGUUCAGGGCAAAGAUGUUUAAAUGACAAUGCCCAGGGGAAUGUCUCUCAGACACAUAGUUACCAUGGCACACAGGUGUUCCAGAGGACCCAGAUUUGUUUCCUGUAAGCACUCUUGUAAGGCAGCACUCAACCACCAACUACCUGCAAUUACAGUUCCAAGGAAUCCUGUGCU
RNAcentral lists this long non-coding RNA (965 nucleotides) under Mus musculus (house mouse). Its description in RNAcentral is "predicted gene, 19299". Lineage: Eukaryota; Metazoa; Chordata; Mammalia; Rodentia; Muridae. The record is from RNAcentral.